CCUGGGCCCCAGGGGGCUCCUGAACGGCGCGUGGCGUCCAGCACGUGGAAAAAGCUUCAUAAACGUGGACCGAAUUCACGAAGGGGGACGGAAGCCUAACCUGAGCCCCUCCUUGCAAGGUUGCACCCUGCUCUGUGCAGAAAAAGUAGAAGGCACAAGUCAAAGCUUUGCGGAUGCAGAGGUCCUGUGGGCAGUGACCAGACCGGCCGCGCGCAGCAAACGCCAGCAGCCAGGACCAGCAUGGGCCUACUGCCGGGACACAGAACCCCAUGCGCGCCCCAAACGCACGUCUUGCCCCACCCCUUCCCCCUCAGGUCCUGCAGCCCUGAGGUGCAGUGGGCAAGCCUGCUGAGCAGAGCCUAGGACAGGGAUACAAGGUUUCUGGGCCUCAGGGCAGGGCAGGAGGGCUGCGAGCUCGGGGCCAGAGGGUUUCUCUGCUCACUGUGCGCGGUUUGCACAAUGCCAGGGCUUUGGCCAUAAUGGCCCACAGGCCACCCCUCAUUGGAAGAGUUAAGUCUGUGGCUUGAAGGGGAGCCCCCAGCUCUACGGUGCCUCCUGUACAAGGCUGUGGCCAGCCUGGGAGUGCCCACGCCCCGCUGCAAGGGGGGACCCAGGCUGCCUCCAGGAGCCUGCUUCGGGCUCUCAUUCCUCCUUGCCUGCCAGGUAGAGCCCCCCUCCCGGAGCAGGUGGUCAGAGCUGAACUGGGACAGUGACACACGACCUCUGGCAGGCGGGCAGCACGGCGGGAGGACCGCAGAGCAGUGUGGUGGGGGUCACGGCUGUGGGGUGGGAUGGGGUCAGGUUCCACCCAGCACCAGGGUGGCGCUCCUGAGGACUCACCCACCCUCCCUCCUAGCCCUGCCACAGCUCGAGGACCGUGCUGCCGCCUAGUGCCUGUAGCCCAGCCUAGCACGAUGGUGGAUUUCUGGGAGUCCAGGCCUAUGUACCCGACCAGAUGUGGACACCUGGACCCCAUUCCCUGCAUGGCAUCUCGAGCGGGGCAUUCAGGACACUGCCGGGCUCCACAGGUCGUAGGAACCUGCUGGCCCCAGAACCACGAACUGGCUGACCAGCUUGCCGGCUCCCUACACCUGUCCUCACCGCUCCUGCACUGUCCUCCCCCAUGGGCCCCUCCCAGAGUCACCAGGAAUGCUCCGUCACAUCUCCUGAGAGUGGCGACAAGGCACAGCCAGCCCCAAGAGCCCAAGCACAGAGGCUUUAGUAAGCGCUGCCGUGACCCCCCGUUUGCUCCCAGUGACAUCCUGGCCUGAGCAGCACCGCUGGUCCCGCCCUCCCUCACCCGCCUCCUGGCUGCUCAACUGAAUAUGCGGUGAUGCUGCUGCCAUGCACGUCCCGGAGCUGGGGGCUGGGGGGCCCUUCCAGGGUCCUGGGUCCUGGCUCAGGGAGCAAAGCGUUGGGCGAGGCUGACCCAGCCUGGCCCACAGACAGAGACCAGUGCUGGGGGUGCUGACGGACAUUGGUGCACACUCACAAGUGACACAAACCACACACGUGCAUCUGUCACCUCGGGGGAGUAGUGACCAGCAGCAGCAGAGGUGGCGAAGGACAAACGGCCGCAGCACACCCGAGCAGACCCUGCCUGUCACUCCUUCCCUGAGGUGGACCAAGGCCACGGUGGGGGGCACAGCAGUGGCAGUGUGCGGGAGGCUGCCCGCGCCCACCUGGAG
Long non-coding RNA from Ailuropoda melanoleuca (giant panda), 1688 nucleotides. RefSeq lists it as uncharacterized. The record is from RefSeq and is a predicted model, not a curated record. NCBI's taxonomy places the organism in Eukaryota, Metazoa, Chordata, Mammalia, Carnivora, Ursidae. The transcript has 3 exons.